GACGAACGCUGGCGGCGUGCUUAACACAUGCAAGUCGAACGGAAAGGCCCUGCUUUUGCGGGGUGCUCGAGUGGCGAACGGGUGAGUAACACGUGAGUAACCUGCCCUUGACUUUGGGAUAACUUCAGGAAACUGGGGCUAAUACCGGAUAGGAGCUCCUGCUGCAUGGUGGUGGUUGGAAAGUUUCGGCGGUUGGGGAUGGACUCGCGGCUUAUCAGCCUGUUGGUGGGGUAGUGGCUUACCAAGGCUUUGACGGGUAGCCGGCAUGAGAGGGUGACCGGCCACAUUGGGACUGAGGUACGGCCCAGACUCCUACGGGAGGCAGCAGUGGGAAAUAUUGCACAAUGGGCGGAAGCCUGAUGCAGCGACGCCGCGUGCGGGAUGACGGCCUUCGGGUUGUAAACCGCUUUCGCCUGUGACGAAGAGUGAGUGACGGUAAUGGGUAAAGAAGCACCGGCUAACUACGUG
Molecule: ribosomal RNA, 468 nt
Filed under: uncultured bacterium
Lineage: Bacteria
Description: partial 16S ribosomal RNA
Rfam family: Bacterial small subunit ribosomal RNA
Source: RNAcentral